UGAGGAAUAUUGGUCAAUGGGCGCGAGCCUGAACCAGCCAUUCCGCGUGAAGGAAGAAGGCCUUAUGGGUUGUAAACUUCUUUUCUGUAAGAAGAAAAGUCCCGACGUGUCGGGAUGUGACGGUAUUAUAGGAAUAAGCAUCGGCUAACUCCGUGCCAGCAGCCGCGGUAAUACGGAGGAUGCAAGCGUUAUCCGGAUUUAUUGGGUUGAAAGGGUGCGCAGGUGGUGUUGUAAGUCAGUGGUGAAAGUCUGUCGCUUAACG
This 262-nucleotide ribosomal RNA is filed under the name uncultured prokaryote. RNAcentral's name for it is "partial 16S ribosomal RNA". It matches the Rfam family "Bacterial small subunit ribosomal RNA", at positions 355 to 614 of the family's 1533-position model. The record is from RNAcentral.